Molecule: long non-coding RNA, 912 nt
Filed under: Marmota monax (woodchuck)
Lineage: Eukaryota; Metazoa; Chordata; Mammalia; Rodentia; Sciuridae
Source: RNAcentral
GGGGACUUUGUGGUGCGCUGCUUCCGGAGGAGCGGCGAGACCCAGGCAAAGACUUGCGUCACCUUUACCCCCGCAAAAUCAAGUGCCUUAUAUUGUCAUUUCAUUGUCGUUCCAGCGCCUUUUCAGAAAGAAAAAGAGAGAAAGAAAAAAAAAGAGAGAAAAGAAAACAUGGUUCUAACUAAAGAUUUUUUUUAAACCGGUUUUAUGGGGCCUCUCGCUUAUGCCAUAAUCCAUUUUGUCCCUGGGACGCUUUUCGUCCAAAGACACAGGGUCACCUUGGCGCGCCCCCAACCCCCAGCGUCAGGCGCCAGUCGCCGGGUCCGGACGGCUUGUCCCCCUACUCUCAGCGACCUUCAGUCUAGCGCAGGCCAGAGUCCCCACAGGCAAAGAGUUCUCUUUUCCUUCGUUGCUCCCUUCUUACCUCCCUUCCUUCCUUCUGAUCUUAUUCCUUCUUCUCUCUCCCUCUCUUCCUUCCUUUUGUUUCUUUCCUCUUUUCCUUCCCUCCUUUUAUUUUUAAUUCUCAAAAAAAAAAUCCAACAUAUUCUAGAAAUGUCAGGUGGUGGCGGAAGCGCGAAGGUCGCCCCAACUCCCUGUCCCGGCUCCCCGCCCCCCCCCCUUCCCCGCGUGUGGCUUGGGGUAAAGACCACGCAGACCCAACGCCGAGGUCCCCAAGGCGGUGGGAAUCACGUCCCAGGGUGCGCGGGACCCGGCGGCCCCUCUCCCGGCGCUGCCCGGGGCCGACCCCUCGCGCCGCCGGCGGCCGCCAGCACGGCGCGGAGGUGGGCUCACUGCAGCGGCGCACGAAAGGUCACCGCGGUGGCAUUCCUCUCCGCGCGCUGUUUACGUGACUUAAUGUACUUCAUACGCCGCGGGUAAGUUAGGGCCGCGAUAAGGGGGCGACCGGGGGAGGGU